ACGAACGCUGGCGGCGUGCCUCAUACAUGCAAGUUGAGCGAUGAAGAUUGGUGCUUGCACCCAUUUGAAGAGCAGCGAACGGGUGAGUAACGCGUGGGGAAUCUGCCUUUGAGCGGGGGACAACAUUUGGAAACGAAUGCUAAUACCGCAUAACAACUUUAAACAUAAGUUUUAAGUUUGAAAGAUGCAAUUGCAUCACUCAAAGAUGAUCCCGCGUUGUAUUAGCUAGUUGGUGAGGUAAAGGCUCACCAAGGCGAUGAUACAUAGCCGACCUGAGAGGGUGAUCGGCCACAUUGGGACUGAGACACGGCCCAAACUCCUACGGGAGGCAGCAGUAGGGAAUCUUCGGCAAUGGACGAAAGUCUGACCGAGCAACGCCGCGUGAGUGAAGAAGGUUUUCGGAUCGUAAAACUCUGUUGGUAGAGAAGAACGUUGGUGAGAGUGGAAAGCUCAUCAAGUGACGGUAACUACCCAGAAAGGGACGGCUAACUACGUG
This 496-nucleotide ribosomal RNA is filed under the name uncultured bacterium. RNAcentral's name for it is "partial 16S ribosomal RNA". It matches the Rfam family "Bacterial small subunit ribosomal RNA", at positions 29 to 507 of the family's 1533-position model. The record is from RNAcentral.